UCUCUUCCCCUCGUUCGAUCGAUUUCUUCCAAAUACAUAACAAUGAUCGAUAUUAAAUGCAAUUGUGGAGCCACUGCAGUGAUUCGCACAUCUUAUAGCAAAAGAAACCCUGGGAAACUCUAUUAUGCUUGUACAGUAAAGGGACCAUUAUGCAAGUUCAUAGGAUGGGUGAAUGAUUAUGAUCAGGACUGUGAUUGUAUGGCGUUUAGGAUGAAACUUGAAGAACAAAAUCGCAAAUUGAAGCUUUACCUAGUUAUUAGCUGGGUUUUUUUUGUUUCAGUCCUUAUAUAUAAAGUGUAGGUUAAGUAAUGAAGUUGUUAGUAUUUUGGUAUGUGUAUAUUGUAAUGGAGACUCUUUGUAAUGUUAUUUGUAUUAACAAAAAAAUUUCAAUUUUAGUUGCAA
This is a non-coding RNA of Lactuca sativa (garden lettuce), 402 nucleotides long. Lineage: Eukaryota; Viridiplantae; Streptophyta; Magnoliopsida; Asterales; Asteraceae. The record is from RefSeq and is a predicted model, not a curated record.